RNAcentral lists this ribosomal RNA (301 nucleotides) under uncultured bacterium. Its description in RNAcentral is "partial 16S ribosomal RNA". It matches the Rfam family "Bacterial small subunit ribosomal RNA", at positions 509 to 807 of the family's 1533-position model. The record is from RNAcentral.
CAGUAGCCGCGGUAAAACGUAGGGUGCAAGCGUUAAUCGGAAUUACUGGGCGUAAAGCGUGCGCAGGCGGUGUUGUAAGACUGAUGUGAAAUCCCCGGGCUCAACCUGGGAACUGCAUUGGUGACUGCAACGCUGGAGUGCGGCAGAGGGGGAUGGAAUUCCGCGUGUAGCAGUGAAAUGCGUAGAUAUGCGGAGGAACACCGAUGGCGAAGGCAAUCCCCUGGGCCUGCACUGACGCUCAUGCACGAAAGCGUGGGGAGCAAACAGGAUUAGAUACCCCCGUAGUCCCUGUCUCUUAUAC